This 440-nucleotide ribosomal RNA is filed under the name uncultured bacterium. Its description in RNAcentral is "partial 16S ribosomal RNA". It matches the Rfam family "Bacterial small subunit ribosomal RNA", at positions 338 to 795 of the family's 1533-position model. The record is from RNAcentral.
CCUACGGGUGGCAGCAGUGGGGGAUAUUGCACAAUGGGCGGAACCCUGAUGCAGCGACGCCGCGUGAGUGAAGAAGCGCCUCGGGUCGUAAAGUUCUGUCAAGAGGGAAGAAAAUGACGGGAUCUGAAGUGAAAACCCCGGCUAACUACGUGCCAGCAGCCGCGGUAAUACGUAGGGGGCACGCGUGAUGCGCAUUUACUGGGGGUAAAAGGGGCGCAGACGGCGAGGCAAGCCAGAAGUGAAAGCUCGGGGGCCAACCCCGGGACUGCUCUUGGAACUGGGUGGCUGGAGUGCCGGAGGGGCAGGCGGAAUUCCUGGUGUAGCGGUGAAAUGCGUAGAUAUCAGGAGGAACACCGGUGGCGAAGGCGGACUGCUGGACUGCAACUGACGUUGAGGCGCGAAAGCGUGGGGAGCAAACAGGAUUAGAUACCCCGGUAGUC